Molecule: transfer RNA, 65 nt
Filed under: Pachybrachis regius
Lineage: Eukaryota; Metazoa; Arthropoda; Insecta; Coleoptera; Chrysomelidae
Also listed under: 1 other name
Description: tRNA-Cys
Source: RNAcentral
GGUCUUAUAGUCAAUAUUGAUAUUAAACUGCAAGUUUAAGGGUAAAGAUAAUUCUUUUAAGACUU